Molecule: ribosomal RNA, 576 nt
Filed under: Helostroma bacarum
Lineage: Eukaryota; Fungi; Basidiomycota; Exobasidiomycetes; Microstromatales; Microstromataceae
Description: Microstroma bacarum partial large subunit ribosomal RNA
Rfam family: Eukaryotic large subunit ribosomal RNA
Source: RNAcentral
AAACUAACAAGGAUUCCCCUAGUAACGGCGAGUGAAGCGGGAAGAGCUCAAAUUUGAAAGCUGGCGCCUUCGGCGUCCGCGUUGUAAUCUCGAGAAGUGUUUUCCGUGCUGGACCAUGUACAAGUUCCUUGGAAUAGGACGUCAUAGAGGGUGAAAAUCCCGUCCUUGACAUGGACGCCCAGUGCUUUGUGAUACGCUCUCCACGAGUCGAGUUGUUUGGGAAUGCAGCUCAAAAUGGGUGGUAAAUUCCAUCUAAAGCUAAAUAUUGGGGAGAGACCGAUAGCGAACAAGUACCGUGAGGGAAAGAUGAAAAGCACUUUGGAAAGAGAGUUAAACAGUACGUGAAAUUGUCGAAAGGGAAGCGCUUGAAGUUAGACAUGCCUGCUGGAAUUCAGCCUUGCUUUUUGCUUGGUGUAUUUUCCGGUGAGCAGGCCAGCAUCAGUUUUGUCUGUCGGAUAAGGGUAGGAGGAACGUAGCCCCCCUCGGGGGGUGUUAUAGCCUCUUACUGGAUACGGCGGAUGGGACUGAGGACCGCAGUGUGCCUUUAUGGCGGGCCUUCGGGCACCUCACACUAGG